This 510-nucleotide ribosomal RNA is filed under the name uncultured bacterium. RNAcentral describes it as "partial 16S ribosomal RNA". It matches the Rfam family "Bacterial small subunit ribosomal RNA", at positions 28 to 507 of the family's 1533-position model. The record is from RNAcentral.
GACGAACGCUGGCGGCGUGCUUAACACAUGCAAGUCGAACGAAGAGCGAUGGAAGCUUGCUUCUAUCACUCUUAGUGGCGAACGGGUGAGUAACGCGUAAUCAACCUGCCCUUCAGAGGGGGACAACAGUUGGAAACGACUGCUAAUACCGCAUACGAUCUAAUCUCGGCAUCGAGGAUAGAUGAAAGGUGGCCUCUACAUGUAAGCUAUCACUGAAGGAGGGGAUUGCGUCUGAUUAGCUAGUUGGAGGGGUAACGGCCCACCAAGGCGAUGAUCAGUAGCCGGUCUGAGAGGAUGAACGGCCACAGUGGGACUGAGACACGGCCCAGACUCCUACGGGAGGCAGCAGUGGGGAAUCUUCCGCAAUGGACGAAAGUCUGACGGAGCAACGCCGCGUGAGCGAUGACGGCCUUCGGGUUGUAAAGCUCUGUUAAUCGGGACGAAAGGCCUUCUUGCGAAUAGUGAGAAGGAUUGACGGUACCGGAAUAGAAAGCCACGGCUAACUACGUG